UUAAUGGAGAGUUUGAUCCUGGCUCAGGACGAACGCUGGCGGCGUGCCUAAUACAUGCAAGUCGAGCGAGGGUCUUCUGACCCUAGCGGCGGACGGGUGAGUAACACGUAGGCAACCUGCCUGUAAGACUGGGAUAACAUAGGGAAACUUAUGCUAAUACCGGAUAGGGUUUCGCUUCACCUGAAGCGAAACGGAAAGAUGGCGCAAGCUAUCACUUACAGAUGGGCCUGCGGCGCAUUAGCUAGUUGGUGAGGUAAUGGCUCACCAAGGCGACGAUGCGUAGCCGACCUGAGAGGGUGACCGGCCACACUGGGACUGAGACACGGCCCAGACUCCUACGGGAGGCAGCAGUAGGGAAUUUUCCACAAUGGACGAAAGUCUGAUGGAGCAACGCCGCGU
Molecule: ribosomal RNA, 399 nt
Filed under: Brevibacillus sp. VP
Lineage: Bacteria; Bacillati; Bacillota; Bacilli; Caryophanales; Paenibacillaceae
Description: bacterial SSU rRNA
Rfam family: Bacterial small subunit ribosomal RNA
Source: RNAcentral